This 484-nucleotide ribosomal RNA is filed under the name Papilio peranthus adamantius. RNAcentral describes it as "partial 16S ribosomal RNA". The record is from RNAcentral. Lineage: Eukaryota; Metazoa; Arthropoda; Insecta; Lepidoptera; Papilionidae.
AAACAUGUCUUUUUGAAAAUAAUUUAAAGUCUAAUCUGCCCACUGAUNAAAUUAUUAAAGGGCUGCAGUAUUUUGACUGUACAAAGGUAGCAUAAUCAUUAGUCUCUUAAUUGGUGACUUGUAUGAAAGAUUGGAUGAGAUAUAUACUGUCUCUAUUUAAUUUAUAAAAUUUAAUUUUUUAGUAAAAAAGCUAAAAUUAUUUUAAAAGACGAGAAGACCCUAUAGAGUUUUAUAAUUUAUUUAAUUAUUAUUAAUAUAUAAAUUUUAAAAUUAAAAUUAAAUGAAUUAUUUUGUUGGGGUGAUAGAAAAAUUAAAUUAACUUUUUUUUUAUUGUAUACAUUAAUUUAUGGAUAAAUGAUCCAUUAAUAGUGAUUAAAAGAAAAAAUUUCCUUAGGGAUAACAGCGUAAUUUUUUUUUUUAGUUCAAAUAGGAAAAAAAGUUUGCGACCUCGAUGUUGGAUUAAGAUAAAAUUUAAAUGCAAAAG